AACUUUCUAAAGAGGAUUAAACCAGUGGCAUCUGUUAAUAUUUAGAACAAGUAAUUUCAUCAUUUUUGGAAUUCUAUUUCAUUAUCUCUGUUAAACACAAUCACAAAUCAUGAUAUCUAAGAGUAGGAAUUUUCUUCUUUAUUUUGGUUGAUUUUACACAUUUUUUUAUAAUGUGUAAGUACCUGAUUUUUGUUUUUUUGUUUAUUUUUCUUUUUAAAGCCACACCUAUGGCAUAUGGAAAUUUCCAGGCUAGGGACUGAAUAAGAGCUGCAGCUGCCAGCCUACACCAUAGCCACAGCAAUGUGAGAUCUGACCUGUGUCUGCAACCUACACCACAGCUCAUGGCAACACUGGAUCCUUAACCCCCUGAGCCAGGCCAGGGAUCAAACCUGCAUCGUCAUGGAUAGUAGUCCCAUUCAUUAACGCUGAGCCACAGUGUUAACUCCAGUACCUGAUUUUUGGAAACUGAACUUCUGUUUUUAAUCCACAAGAGGGUUUCACAUCUCUUAGUGUAAAAUAAUUUGUAGAAAUCUGUUUUGAGGAUCAGAGAAAAACUCUUCUUAAAUAUGCUUACAUGAACUAAAUAGCACUGAUUUUAUUCUGAGUGAUACUUAUAAAAGCCUUUGCAUAAUGCCACUCUUUUCUAUUUAUAUAGACUUCUAAAAAAUGAGCAUGCUUGUCUUCUAGCCACUAACAACAGAUGUGCUUAGCAUAAAACAUCAGAAGUAGAUUUUGCAGACUGUAGCUAAGAUCUAGUAAAAUUGGAACAAAAAUUUGCCUUCAAGCGAGACGUCUGCUAUUUUCUUCUGCAAACCUGUUUCAUAUUUUCCUUAGAAGUGAGGAGGAAACGAUGAGCACUCAUUCAUGCUUCUGUAGUAGCACUACCUCUGCUUACCUACUUUAAAAAAGGUUCAAAUUAGUCCUUAUCUUAGAGAACUUAAAAAGUUUCGUAUUUGAAAGAGUAGAGGUAAUCCCUUAGGCCACUUUUAUCUGAGGAAGUCACUUUUAAAAUUCAAUUGCUUUUAUCACAGAGAGUUUUCAGCCAUUAAGCAUUACUUUUAAUUUUUUUUUUCCUAAAAAUUGCUCUGAAUUUCAGGAGCAAUAAGGUAAACUCAAAAUCAUGUGAGAUUGUGUCUACUAAUUUAUGACAAAGAAAUUUACUGCUUCUUUUAAUAUUUAUAAGUACUUUUCUAAAAUAUUAUGUUGCAUAGUACAUUAAUUUUCCUUUAAUAGCAAUUUUAAAAGGUUUUCAAGUUCCUAAGAGCAAUCUUUGAAUAUACCCCAAUGUUCUGGCAUAUUAUAUUUGUGUUAAUAACUUGGGGAAUUUCUAUAGCACUUUGCUAUUUCUGAAGCAUAAAUUUAUUCUUUUACAUGUAAACUAUAUUUUUGAUUUCUUGAAGCUUGGUAAAAUGUUUUGCGUGUGAAACUUUAAAUUCAAUUUUUAAACUAGUUUUUAAAAUUUUUUUAAGACAAGAUAUUUUCCAUUAACUUUUUAAGUUAACUUUAUUCAACCAUGAUAUGAAACUAUAAGCUUUUCAUUAAAUUUAUUAAUCAUCAGGAAUAUUUUACAAGCAAAUAAAAAUAAUUAUUCUUAUAGAGUUACAAGUCUUUAUUUCAGGAAAAUAUCUUGAAAUUUUACUUACUUAUCCAGAUUCAUCAUACUAUACAUUUCUAGAAAUACUAUGCAGCUGUGAAAGAAACUGACCAUAUCAGUAUUUACCCUACUUUUUGUGGAACUGAUUAGUUUUGUAAUACAACUUGUGUGAUGACAAACCAAGUGUGUUCCAUAUUAAUGCACAAAUAAAAUUGAUUCUUUGAUUUGCUACUGCAGAAUAUAUUUUCAAAACUAAACACUAUUUGAAAAAUUGUUUCUGACUUGUGGUUGGCCAAAAGUCUUGACUGCAGAACAUACCCAUUCCUAAAUGUAGGGCACCAGGCACUGCAGUUUUUUCCUCAAAACUUAACAGUUGUAGUAGUUUAAAGCCAAUUUGUUAUUUGUUUUGCUCAAGUAGUUCUUCUUCUCUUCCAUGUAUAGAUUGACACUUCAUAACUUUUAAGAAUUUUGCUCACUCUUUCAUUGGAUGAGCACACCACUGAAAUCUGCCAUGUCCGGCACUGCAGGAAAAUGGGGAAUCCUGGAAGAGGGACGGUGUGGUAUAGCAGAACACAUGAGAUGCUUACAUUUAGAAAGUGGGGGACCAGGAGCCACUCUGUUCCGCAGAACAAAGGCACCUAGGCUUUAGCCAUAUGACUUUUAUUAAGGCAGGUGAUGAGAUUAUUAUUAGUGGGAUUAAAGAAGAUGAAAAGAUUAGUGGGCAGGAACACAGGCAUAGGCAAUAAUGAGGUUAUCUUCUUAGUGAUAUCAAAGGGGGUAUCCUUAGGACAUAGUGCAGCUGUUUAUAGUAUAACAUGGUUAACGCAUAAGUUCUUUAUCUUGUCUUGGUACUUUGGAACUCUGCAUCCAUAGAUAUUUGCCUUCUGCAGAGUUCAGCUGUUUUGUGGUCUCUAACAGAAAUCAUAUUAGGGACUGAAAUUCUAGAGACUGCAAAAUUUUUGGUGAUCUAGAACUGGCUUUUUAAUGUAAAAUUCUUAUAAACUAUAAAGGGAAAGUAGUAAGGAUUGCUAAGGAAACUGACAUUAAAAGCAUAGAAUAUAUCUGGGUUAUGUUUAAAUUUCAAGAUUUCUUCUAUAAAAGAAGAUUGAAUGUGAUAAUUUUAAUAUUGUUCCUAGUACUUGGUCUGUGUAUCAUGAAACACUUUGAGAGUCUUCUAGAUGUGAUUUUCAUCAUUUAGCUUUUCCUGUACUUUUUUAAAAAUAAUAUUUAGUGGUAAGCAGUUGUUUGCAUGCCGUGGCUUUCCUGGAAUGUGCUGAAAUGUGUCAUUCAGCAUGUCCAAGCUUACUAUCCAAAGCACUGAAAGAAUUCUACAAGGCCUCCAGAAGACUCACACAUGGUGGGAUUUUAAUUCUAAUUAUUUAGCUUAUGCACUUAAUAAGACAAAUUGGACUUGUUUUCAAGAUGACAGGAAGCAUAUGAUAAUAGCACUGUAGAUUAACUGUCAUUUUAUGCUCAUUUUGGAAUGGAACAAAUUUAAAGAUAUAGAAUUUGGCUUGGCUGGACUAGCUCUGCAAAGGAUGUUGUGUAGUUGAUAUAACUAUGGUGGCCAUGAGCGUUCUCCUAUUGGCAUCUCAGAUCUUUAGCUGCAGGGAAUCUUAAGUGUCUGAUGGCCUAGAAUGUAUACUUUGAAAUUCAUAUUGCUACUUGUACCAAUGGGCUUUUCUCGGGCUAUUCCUUGCCAGUGACUGAGCAUGGCAGAGAUACCAAGGCAGGAACAUUCCUGGAAGAUGCAGGGUCCUCUGAUGAGUCUUCGUAAGGAUUCACAAGCUGCCUUGCCUAACUUUUCUUAGAAUUGAUUGCAUGGCAGUCUGAGCCUCCAUACUCACUCUCUCACUCACACACUCACUACCUAUAACUUUCCUUUCUUUCUUUCUGCUUUCUUUUUCUAAGAGCCAGACUUGUAUCAUUGUCUAAUAGCUGUAAAUCUCCCCUAGAUUCUUUCUGAUUUUCUUUCAUAGGCUUUUACCUUCUGAGAUUUAUUUUUCCUUUAAUCCUGUUUUGGCGUUUGCUUCUUAGAGGACCAGAACCAACAUAAUAACCAAUUCUUAUAUUGUGAGGUCUUAAAGAAUUCUAUCAAUAUGUAGACCCAUUAUUUUGUUACUAUAAUGACGCCCAAGCGUGCUACAAAAUAUCCAAGGAAGUCUGAAAUCAUUUCAUAAGUAGAUUCAAACAAUUUUGGGGAAUAGACAGGGUACAUAUUAUAAAUUUAAAAAAAUGUGUUCUAAACAUCCAUACCCAAAGAUAUAGAAAUAAAAUACAGUGCUUACCUCCAUAUCACAUAUAUUAACAAUAGGACUAAAUGAGUUAAUGUUUUAAAAAAUCUUUGCAAAGUGACUGGAAUUAGCAUAUAAUCCAUAAGUGUUAAAUAUUAACUAACUUUAUAUUAAAAUUUUUAUGUGCAAUCAUAUUUCUGGUUUCAGGAUUGUUUUGGUAUCUGUACAUAUUUUAAUUUCAAGAUAGAAAUCUAGAUUAUCACUAGAUGAUAAAUUCCUCAUUAGUUUUGAUCCCCUUGAGGACAGAGACUGUGCUUAAUUUAAUUUGUAUUUCAAGUACCAGUGAAAGCCAAAUUCAGAGUAAGUGUAUAAUGACCAUUCUCACAGUUUCCUACUUAACUUGUUGUCCCUGGGCCAACAUUACUGGCAUCACCUAGGAGCUUGUUAGAAAGGUCCCCCAUAGACUUUAAUGAUUCCAAAUUUGCACUUUAUCAAGAGCUCCAGGUGGUUUUUGUCCCCAUUAAACUGUGUGAUGCAGUGAUCCAGAAGACUUGCCUACUAAAUGUUUGUCCUUUCUACAUCUUCCUUCCUGAAAUAACCCUAGUUGUAACAGGUAGUCUCCUUUGCCCCAUAGCUACUUAAUUCAGGAAAAGAUUGUAGCAUUUUCAGUAAAAAGGGAGAAGCCACAAUUAUCUAAGUUGGGGGGGGGUUGAUUCUCUUAGCAAAUGAUCUGUUUAACCAUAGCAAAGGCCAAUGAAAGAGGAGAAAAAAAAAAAAUCUCUGAAGUGAGCAUUUCUGAGCAAUGAGUUAAUUAUUUUAAAAGAGAAAAUCUUCUUUCUUAUUUCUGGAUGUUACUGUGCCUUUAUGGGACUCUUAGCACUGAGUUGGCUUCUCUUCUUCUUACUUUAUAAUGAAGCCAAAAGAAGGAAAGUGGAACCAUGAGACAAAGAGAGAGGUGGAACCAGACAGAGCACUGAUCUCUUUUUAGAAAUGGUUUUCAUCUUUGGAAAUCAAAGCAUUAUUGACAUCUUUUCAGUUCAAUUACUCUGCUAAAUAUUCUUUGAAUUUUUGAUAAGGGUCAUCAAACCCUCCUUCUUGAAACCUGUGUCUGUCUUUGGUGGCCUAUGAGACUCCAGCCUCUCUUUAUUGGCUCUGAUUCAUCUGGAUACUUCUUAAAUUGAACAUUUAUUUACUGACUUUUCUUUGAAUUUAGGGUAUUACUUGUAGGCAGCUUGUAUUCCCAUACUAGACAUGCAUUUUGAUCCAUUCCUUCCCUACUGCCAUGAUUUUAACCGCCAUACAUAUUCAGGAGACUUCAAAAAUCUAUAUUUUUUUAGUUGUAGAUUUACUUUUGAGUUUCACAGUAAGUAACAGUUAUCUUAGUGCUUCCAUUAUGGACCAAACACUGAACUAAGUGCUUUAAAUCAUUAAAUUCCCACAGUGAUCCCUUGAGGUAGAUAUAAUUUUUAUUACCAUUUUAUAGAUGAUGAAUUUGAGGUACAGAAGUGUGAUGGUUAAUUUUAUAUGUUAACUUGAUUGAACCACAAGAUGCCCAGAUUAAACACUUUUCUGGAUGUGUCUGUGAAUAUGUCUCUGGGUGAGAUUAGCAUGUGAAUCUGUGGACUCAGUAUAAGCAGGCUGUCCUCCCCAGUGUGGGCGGGCAAUGAACAGACUGCCCUUUCCAGUGUCAAUGGGCAAUAUCCAAUCCACUGGGGCCUGAAUAGAACAAAAAGGGAGGAAGAGUAGAUUCAAAACUUUCCUGCCUGCUUGAGUUGGGACAAUGGUCUUUCUUGCCCUUGGUUUAAAGAUUUAUGCCAUUGGCUCUUCCAGUUCUCAGGGUUUUGGACUCAGACUGAAUUACAUCACUGGCUUUGACAGGAGCUGCCGACAGCAGAUUAUGACACUUCUCAGCCUCUAUAACUGUGAGAGCCAAUUCCUCACAAUAACUAUCCUAUGAAGCUAGGUUUACUUCUUGCUAGCUCUGUGCUUUAGACAACCCUCUUAUUGAUUCUGCUUCUCUGGAUAACUUAACUAACAUAGAGCUCGUAAAAAGCUGAACCAGAGUCUCUGUUUAAUUGCUAUGCUAUUUUCCUUUUCCAGUUGCCGUUUUUUUUUGUUUUGUUUUGUUUUUGUUUUUGUUUUUUCUGGCUGCACCCACAGCAUAUGGAAGUUCCUAUAUGGGAAAGAUAUACCAUGCUUUUGGGUUGGAAGAAUCAGUAUUGUCAAAAUGACUACUAUCCAAGGCAAUCUACAGAUUCCAUGCAAUCCCUAUCAAAUUAUCAAUCACAUUUUUCACAGAACUAGAACAAAACAUUUUAAAAUGUGUAUAGAAACACCAAGUAUUGGGGAAGUAACAAUUAAAAGAAAAGAAACACAAAGACCUCAAAUAGCCAAGGCAAUCUUGAAAAAGAAAAUUUGAACUGGAGGUAUAAGGCUUUCUGACUUCAGACUUCACUAUGAAGCUAUAGUCAUCAAACAGUGUGGUACUGUCACAAAAACAGAAAUUAUAGAUUGGUGGAACAAGCCCAGAAAUAAACCCAAGCACCUAUGAUCAACUAAUCUACGACAAAGGAGGCAAGAAUAUACAACCAAUAUAGUAAAGACCAUGUCUUCAAUAAGUGGUGCUGGGAAAAUUGGACAGUUAUAUGUGAAAUAAUGAAAUUAGAACAUUCUCUAAUACCAUACACAAAAAUAAACUCAAAAUGGAUUAAAGACCUAAACAUAAGGCCAGGUACUAUAAAUCUCCUAGAGGAAGACAUAAGUAGAACACUCUUUGACAAAUAUUGUAGCUAUAUCUUGUUUGAUCAACCUCUAGAGUAAAGAGAAUAAAAACAAAAAUAAAUCAAUGGGACCUGAUUAAACUUAAAAGCUUUUGCACUGUAAGAGAAACCAUAAAAAACAAAACAAAAACAAAAAAACAAAAAGACAACCUACAGAAUGGGAGAGAAUAUUUGUAAACAGUGUGACUGACAAAGGGUUAACUUCCAAUACAUAUGAACAGCUCAUACAACUUAGUAUCAAAAGAACAGACAACCCAAUCAAAAAAUGAGCAUAAGAUCUAAAGAGACAUUUCUCCAAAGAAGACAGCCAGAU
Molecule: long non-coding RNA, 6921 nt
Filed under: Sus scrofa (pig)
Lineage: Eukaryota; Metazoa; Chordata; Mammalia; Artiodactyla; Suidae
Description: lncRNA (ENSSSCG00000054882.1)
Source: RNAcentral